This 878-nucleotide ribosomal RNA is filed under the name uncultured fungus. RNAcentral describes it as "eukaryotic LSU rRNA". The stretch from base 432 to 585 matches the Rfam family "5.8S ribosomal RNA". Lineage: Eukaryota; Fungi. The record is from RNAcentral.
UCUUGGUCAUUUAGAGGAAGUAAAAGUCGUAACAAGGUUUCCGUAGGUGAACCUGCGGAAGGAUCAUUAAAGAAAUUUAAUAAUUUUGAAAAUGGAUUUUUUUGUUUUGGCAAGAGCAUGAGAGCUUUUACUGGGCAAGAAGACAAGAGAUGGAGAGUCCAGCCGGGCCUGCGCUUAAGUGCGCGGUCUUGCUAGGCUUGUAAGUUUCUUUCUUGCUAUUCCAAACGGUGAGAGAUUUCUGUGCUUUUGUUAUAGGACAAUUAAAACCGUUUCAAUACAACACACUGUGGAGUUUUCAUAUCUUUGCAACUUUUUCUUUGGGCAUUCGAGCAAUCGGGGCCCAGAGGUAACAAACACAAACAAUUUUAUCCAUUCAUUAAGUUUUUGUCAAAAACAAGAAUUUUCGUAACUGGAAAUUUUAAAAUAUUAAAAACUUUCAACAACGGAUCUCUUGGUUCUCGCAUCGAUGAAGAACGCAGCGAAAUGCGAUACGUAAUGUGAAUUGCAGAAUUCCGUGAAUCAUCGAAUCUUUGAACGCACAUUGCGCCCCUUGGUAUUCCAGGGGGCAUGCCUGUUUGAGCGUCAUUUCCUUCUCAAACAUUCUGUUUGGUAGUGAGUGAUACUCUUUGGAGUUAACUUGAAAUUGCUGGCCUUUUCAUUGGAUGUUUUUUUUCCAAAGAGAGGUUUCUCUGCGUGCUUGAGGUAUAAUGCAAGUACGGUCGUUUUAGGUUUUACCAACUGCGGCUAAUCUUUUUUUAUACUGAGCGUAUUGGAACGUUAUCGAUAAGAAGAGAGCGUCUAGGCGAACAAUGUUCUUAAAGUUUGACCUCAAAUCAGGUAGGAGUACCCGCUGAACUUAAGCAUAUCAAUAAGCGGAG